Molecule: long non-coding RNA, 2805 nt
Filed under: Homo sapiens (human)
Lineage: Eukaryota; Metazoa; Chordata; Mammalia; Primates; Hominidae
Description: HSALNT0021033
Source: RNAcentral
GGCUUUUCUUCUCCCAGGAAGAAUCCAGAAUAGUUCAGACAAGCUUCAGGUCCGCCAGAACCGGGGAAAACAACGUGUAGGGUUUGUUUUAAAGGGCUUUUAAAUGGGGUUUGGGAGAUCCAGGUAGAUUAGAAUCUUGACUCUGCACUGGCUGUGCAAGACAGAAAUUCACCUUUCAAAACUUCUGUUCCCCAGUCUAUGCGGUAAGAAGUUUAGAUUAGCUGAUUUCUAGGGAGAUUUUGGGCAGGCAUGAUUCAGUUCCAUGAAGGGCUGUGGGACAGGACUGCACUAAGAGGUCCUAUAGAUUGGAUUCUUCAGUUCCCUCCCUUCCGCUGGAGAAUAGAGGAAUCUGCCUUCGCUGCACACUAGAUUUACCUGGAGAACAAAUGGAAAGCAGGCCAGGAUCCUGGGUGAAAUGUGGCACAUUUGAGGAGACUUCAACUUCCCUUGCCCUCCAGCUCUGCCUGGAUGGACUGGCCUAUCUCUGCUGGAUUCCCGAAGUGCAUUGUGUAGAGACAGCAACUCAGGUCAGGCUAAAAGCUCAAGCAAGCAAGCGCGCACACACACGCGCGCACACACACACACACACACACAAACACUCAGCUUCCUUAGGACAAGAUAAAAUCUUAGCAUUCCCCUCUCCCCGAUUAGGUAGGUCUCUGGGAGGACUAAGGCUUCAGGUGCAAGGCUCAGAUAACCUGCAGUGUCUCUCCAACUCUGGGAUGACAAAGACCUCACUUCCCUUUUCUGGUGUUCACACAACAAUGAGAAAGUACGGGUAGCCUGCAGAAAGACCUCUCCAUUCAUGGUCCCCCAGGGGUGUGGGUUCUGAGAGGUGGGACCAGCUGCCAGGCCCUUUCUCCAUUGGUUGAGUUCAGCAGGUAACCUGAAGCUUUGCUGAGAGGUGCAUAAAUAAAGAGUGAAACUAGUACCACCUCCUUGAAAUGGGCUGAGUCCCUCUUGCUCACCCUUGACUUGGAAAAACCAGUUUCUCUUUUAUUGUCUGUUACUAAUCUCUAUUCUAAAAAUUCAGCUCAAUUCUCAACCAUACUCCAAACUCUCUCUUUUCCAGCUACCUUUACUCCCUCUCCUUCAAUUCCACUUUCCUCUGCUUACUUUUUUUUUUUUUCUGACAGGGUCUCACUUUGUCGCCCGGGCAGGAGUGCAGUGGCUCAAUCUUGGGCUCACUGCAGCCUCAACCUCCCAGAGGCGGGGUUUCACCAUGUUGCCCAGACUGGUCUUGAACUCCUGAGCUUAAGCAAUCCACCUGCCUCGGCCUCCCAAAGUGUUGGGAUCACAGGCGUGAGCCACCGCAUCCGGCCUCAUGUUCUUUUUCAUUAAAGAGAGAAAUCAACUAUUCAGGACCGGCCCCCACCUUUCCUCAGGAGUCAUUUCUGUUCCGCACAGGCCUGCUGAACUGGGUGCUUUAUAUAGGACACUGUCAUCUCUCAAGUACCCAUCUUGGAGGGUACGGACCCCACAUGAGGAAAGGACCAACCACACCGAGCUCAGUUAUGGCACACACAGUGGGACCUAGACAAAGGGAGAGGGUGACCGACAUCCCAACUAGAUUUCAGUGGAGUGAAGUUCAGGAGGCAUGGAGCUGACAACCAUGAGGCCUCGGCAGCCACCGCCACCACCGCCGCCGCCACCACCGUAGCAGCAGCAGCAGCAGCAGCAGCAGCAGCAGCAGCAGCAAGAGUAACUCUGACUUAGGAAUAGAGACAGCCAGAGAGAAAUGUGAUCAAUGAAGGAGACAUCUGGAGUGUGCGUGCUUCUUCAGAGGGACGGGUGAUGGGCAGAUUGGAAAAAGCACCGCAGAUGGGAACCUUAAUCUUUCUUUUCUAAAAUUGAUGCUAUGAAAAUUUGCGUUUUCUGUAACUUGUAAAAACUAAAAGUUGCUUGUCUACUGAAAAGCCUCUCUGCCUCUAUGUUUUAUACCAUCGGAUGCCAACUCCCGGCCUUCUAAGCCACCUCCCCUUUAGGCUAAAACUGAGACAUGAACUUGAAAAAUUGACACUGGCUUCCUCUCUCUUUAGGGUCCCCAGGCAGGUGGCUGGGACACUAUUUGCAAUCAGCAAGGAACCCUGCUGCCCUUAGACUCCCCACAGAGCAAGCAGAACUUGCAGAAUGGGGUAAAAACACUCUAUUAAAGAUUUUUUAAACCUAUUUAUAUUGUAAUAAAGUAAAUGUAAAUAAAAUUUAAGUGAAGGCAGAUUGCAGAUAUUUCCGAUGCUAUACAAGAUAUAUCUCAUAGUAUGGGUGUAGAUUCUGCAAAGGUUAAUGCAGUUAAACAUAUUUGACACAUAAAAAUGUCAGAUCCAACAUUAAUCAUUCACCAAUUGUAAUUGCCUUUCUAUGGGUCUCUUCUCCCCAAGACAUAGCUUAAAACACCAGGCUCGGUAGAAAUCUGGGAGGAAAAAAGCAAAUAAUACCUCUCAGCUGUCAGGGUCUAUGAUACGCUUUGAUAGAUUUAGCACUGAUUUCAUUCUCUUUACAAUUCAGUGUGAUUGGGUGUGCGUGUGUGUGUGUGUGUGUGUGUGUGUGUGUGUGUGUGUUACUCCAUGUUUCUCCUUUUUAAGGAAGGAGAAGGUGUGGAACAAGAGAAAGUUCCUAAGUCUGAAGGAAGUCCAACCCAGUUAUGAAGGGAAUGCCAUCCACAAGCCUUUUUUAUAAUUGGCCCCUGCCUCAGGUAAAGGGGUCUCCUUUAAGGAGCCAGUCUGGCUAAAUUGGCAGAUUCUGAACAAAGCCUGGCCCUGACAAGUCUUCAGAAAAACCGGUUUUCACCUCCAGAAUGUGCCCCAG